AGUUCCGCACAUAAUCGACAUGGCCAACAUGACAGCCAGAACAAAAUGAGGUUCAAAGGAUGGUAUGUGGGUUUAACGAUGGAAGAAUUUGGAACUUGUGUUGGGCAUUCAUCAUUUGGAAGCAGAUGCCGUGAUUUCUGAUUACCAAGAAUAAAUGUAUAGUUUAUUAAAAAGGCGAUUGAAGAUAUGGCUGCCAGAAGUUUGGGAUACUUACUAGAAUUGCUAAUGCCAGAGGCAUCCCAAGUUGAGCCCAACUUAAAAAUCAACUGAGUUUACAAUGGCAGUUUUCAAACGUGUUUAGUAACAUGCCAAAACAAGUCAUUUUGGUACGGGUCAAAAUUGGCUGGGUAAGGUUGCCGUAAACAGUUUUUUGCACAAGCUUAGCCUACAAUUGAUUUAGAUGUCAAAAUUGGUUCAAAAAGUGAUAUUUUAUUAUUUUGUUUUUGAACAUCCAGGCAUACACCAUUGAGCAGACAGAUUCGUAGAUUUUUUUUAAUUAAUACUUUCUGCACAAGCUUAGCCUAUGAUCAAGCAUUUGACUUUGACCUCAUCAAGUAUAUAGAGAUAUGCAUGACCUCACCCAUAAAGUUGAUGUUCAUAUCCAGUAGUUGAACUAUUUUUAUAUGCAUCAACUUUUUUAUAUU
This is a long non-coding RNA of Helianthus annuus (common sunflower), 644 nucleotides long. RefSeq lists it as uncharacterized. Lineage: Eukaryota; Viridiplantae; Streptophyta; Magnoliopsida; Asterales; Asteraceae. The record is from RefSeq and is a predicted model, not a curated record. The transcript is spliced from 3 exons.